CCUACGGGGGGCAGCAGUGAGGAAUAUUUGUCAAUGGACGAGAGUCUGAACCAGCCAAGUAGCGUGAAGGAUGACUGCCCUAUGGGUUGUAAACUUCUUUUAUAUGGGAAUAAAAUGUUCCACGUGUGGGAUUUUGUAUGUACCAUAUGAAUAAGGAUCGGCUAACUCCGUGCCAGCAGCCGCGGUAAUACGGAGGAUCCGAGCUUUAUCCGGAUUUAUUGGGUUUAAAGUGAGCGUAGGUGGAUUGUUAAGUCAGUUGUGAAAGUUUGCGGCUCAACCGUAAAAUUGCAGUUGAAACUGGCAGUCGUGAGUACAGUAGAGGUGGGCGGAAUUCGUGGUGUAGCGGUGAAAUGCUUAGAGAUCACGAAGAACUCCGAUUGCGAAGGCAGCUCACUGGACUGCAACUGACACUGAGGCUCGAAAGUGUGGGUAUCAAACAGGAUUAGAUACCCUUGUAGUC
This 460-nucleotide ribosomal RNA is filed under the name uncultured bacterium. Its description in RNAcentral is "partial 16S ribosomal RNA". It matches the Rfam family "Bacterial small subunit ribosomal RNA", at positions 338 to 795 of the family's 1533-position model. The record is from RNAcentral.